GACGAACGCUGGCGGCGUGCUUAACACAUGCAAGUCGAACGAAGAGCGAUGGAAGCUUGCUUCUAUCAAUCUUAGUGGCGAACGGGUGAGUAACGCGUAAUCAACCUGCCCUUCAGAGGGGGACAACAGUUGGAAACGACUGCUAAUACCGCAUACGAUCUAAUCUCGGCAUCGAGGAUAGAUGAAAGGUGGCCUCUACAUGUAAGCUCUCACUGAAGGAGGGGAUUGCGUCUGAUUAGCUAGUUGGAGGUGUAACGGCCCACCAAGGCGAUGAUCAGUAGCCGGUCUGAGAGGAUGAACGGCCACAUUGGGACUGAGACACGGCCCAGACUCCUACGGGAGGCAGCAGUGGGGAAUCUUCCGCAAUGGACGAAAGUCUGACGGAGCAACGCCGCGGGAGGGAUGACGGCCUUCGGGUUGUAAAGCUCGGUUAAUCGGGACGAAAGGCCUUCUUGCGAAUAGUGAGAAGGAUUGACGGUACCGGAAUAGAAAGCCACGGCUAACUACGUG
Molecule: ribosomal RNA, 510 nt
Filed under: uncultured bacterium
Lineage: Bacteria
Description: partial 16S ribosomal RNA
Rfam family: Bacterial small subunit ribosomal RNA
Source: RNAcentral